RNA transcript from Dendroctonus ponderosae (mountain pine beetle), 1668 nucleotides. It is a transcript of the gene named heterogeneous nuclear ribonucleoprotein A1, A2/B1 homolog, with no coding region annotated. The transcript is spliced from 11 exons. The record is from RefSeq and is a predicted model, not a curated record. NCBI's taxonomy places the organism in Eukaryota, Metazoa, Arthropoda, Insecta, Coleoptera, Curculionidae.
GCACCUGGCAAAGUGAUGUUUUGGGAUUGACUGGCGGCCAUUUCGUUCACAAAUUUGUUUGCGCCAGUUUUUGGAGUUCUUAGUUUUGAGGCGUUUUUGCGUUAUUGGAAAAAAUCAGCAUGAGGAGAGACAACGGCAAUGAUGGUUUGGAACCUGAACAGUUCCGCAAACUAUUCAUUGGUGGUCUGGACUAUCAUACGACUGAUGAGUCAUUGAAGAAGCACUUUGAGCAAUGGGGCGAAAUUGUUGACGUGGUGGUGAUGAAGGAUCCGACCACAAAGCGAAGCCGCGGCUUUGGUUUUAUCACCUAUUCCAGUGCUCAGAUGGUGGACGAUGCCCAGAAAGCCCGACCUCAUAAAGUUGAUGGCCGGGUGGUGGAACCCAAAAGGGCGGUACCGCGCCAGGAGAUUGGACGACCCGAGGCCGGCGCUACCGUGAAAAAGCUUUUCGUCGGCGGCCUUAAAGAAGACAUUGAAGAAGAGGACCUGAAAGACUACUUCAAAACGUUUGGAAACAUUUUAUCCUGCAGCAUUGUGGUGGACAAGGAAACGAGGAAGAAGCGCGGCUUUGCCUUUAUUGAGUUCGAAGAUUACGACUCGGUAGAUAAAAUCGUCUUAAAACGCUCCCAUACGAUCAAAAACAAGGUGGUUGAUGUGAAAAAGGCCCUAAACAAAAUUGACAUGCAACAAGGCGGCCAAGUGGGCGGCUCCAUGGGGCGUGGUGGACAUAGAGGAGGUGGACGAGGCGGCCGCAGUAACAAUCAAGGUGGUGGUCAUCAAGGAGGUGGAGGAGGAGGAUAUGGGGCUCCUCAGCCUGGACCUUGGGGAGGCCAACAAGGCGACAACAACUGGGGUGGUAACCAAGGGGGCGGUUGGGGAGGCGCUCAAGGCGGCCAACAAAAUUCGUGGGGAGGCAGCGGAGGGUGGGAUCAAUCUCAACAGCCUUGGGGCCCACCCGCCCAGCAAUCCUACAAUCAGAGUCCCUCUGGUGGAUACAACACCGGAACUAGCGGAGGUGGUUGGGGAGGACAGGCUCAAACCCCCAGUUCGGGUAAUUUUAGCAACAGCUAUCAACAAGGCUACAGUGGAGGGGCCGUGAGGAAUAAUUAUCAGCAGCAAAGGCCUGCGCCUUAUAACUCAGGUGGUUAUGGGGGCGGCAGUAACUACCAGCAAGGUUCAGGGGGCGGCGGCCGCAGAUAUUAAGCCUCCUACUUAAUGCCAACGUUUCGGAACUGUUGCUGAUAAUGGAACUGGUUCGUAGAUGAUUACCAUUGAUCCAGAUUACAAACAAGCACUUACUUGGUGCGAAUUGCGGCGCCUCCGCUUUAGCGGCCAGCUCUUUGGGCUCUUUGGGUUCCAAGUGGCCGUAAAGCUUCUGGAAAAAUUCCCUAGGGCUGGAGGGUUGAUGGUUCUUUUGCUUCAUGAGGGCCGCCGUGGGAACCAUUGCCUAAACACCACGAAAUUGGCACCAGAAUAACCGCAUAGAACGCAAAGAUUGAAGGCAGGCACAGCUGGCGGGCGUUCACAGAAUGGGGGAGGGCAUGAUCCAAUAAGGACUUAAAAAAUCAUCGCGCUUCAGUGACUGAGGUCGACUGUUAGUGGACAACUAAAACAGCUUUAAACUGUAUCUGAACAGUUUAUUUCUGGAAAUAAACGACAGUAAAGUACA